RNAcentral lists this ribosomal RNA (440 nucleotides) under uncultured bacterium. RNAcentral's name for it is "partial 16S ribosomal RNA". It matches the Rfam family "Bacterial small subunit ribosomal RNA", at positions 338 to 795 of the family's 1533-position model. The record is from RNAcentral.
ACUACGGGAGGCAGCAGUGGGGGAUAUUGCACAAUGGGGGGAACCCUGAUGCAGCGACGCCGCGUGGGUGAAGAAGCGCCUCGGCGCGUAAAGCCCUGUCAGCAGGGAAGAAAAUGACGGUACCUGAAGAAGAAGCCCCGGCUAACUACGUGCCAGCAGCCGCGGUAAUACGUAGGGGGCAAGCGUUAUCCGGAUUUACUGGGUGUAAAGGGGGCGCAGCCGGCGAUGCAAGCCAGGAGUGAAAGCCCGGGGCCCAACCCCGGGACUGCUCUUGGAACUGCGUGGCUGGAGUGCAGGAGGGGCAGGCGGAAUUCCUGGUGUAGCGGUGAAAUGCGUAGAUAUCAGGAGGAACACCGGUGGCGAAGGCGGCCUGCAGGACUGCAACUGACGUUGAGGCCCGAAAGCGUGGGGAGCAAACAGGAUUAGAUACCCGAGUAGUC